RNAcentral lists this long non-coding RNA (18410 nucleotides) under Gossypium raimondii (Peruvian cotton). RNAcentral's name for it is "long non-coding RNA (GRAI_LNC004213)". Lineage: Eukaryota; Viridiplantae; Streptophyta; Magnoliopsida; Malvales; Malvaceae. The record is from RNAcentral.
UUUUCGCAGUACCGAACCUUACACAUGGAGCUCUAGUCAUACCAUCUUUCAAUAGAACACUUGUAGCUCCACCAGACAAAUGAAUAGCCUUACAGCCCCUAUUAGUGCUAGCCACCAAGCACCCUUCCGUGGUUGCCAUAGGAACCGAGUACUCUCUUCCAUUAACCAACAAAGGCCCGGAAAUUCCAACGGGAAUUUGCACGUAGCCAACCGGCAUCUCACAACACUGCCCCAAAAUCGACUCGUAAUCAAACCCAUCCAAGGGCAAUCCUGAUAACGACUUCCCUGUUAAUCUUUGCAACGCUUCCCGCCUGAUUGCGGCCGCCCUCUUGCAAUCACCCAAUUUCGAUUCCAAGGAAUACGAAGGGGUUGUUCCAGCAACUACAGAUUUAAUUAUUUCUUCAUCUUCCUCCGUUAGUACCGUCACAGGCUUUUCAUCGAACACUUUCUGGGCAGUCACGAUUGGUGCCGCAGGAGGCAAAGGAGGAAGCAAGCAAUCAAGAGCUUGUCCGCAAGGGACCUUACGGGCAUCCUCUUUUGCAAGCAAAACUUCGUUUUCCUCUUCCUCGUCUUCGGCAAUCCAAUCGUCAGACGAUGGCCGGAAAACCAAAGAUUGAACGAAGUCAAGCCCAAAGAAACCCAAAAGGUAAAUAAACGAUGCGAAAAACGCGAGAAUCGCGAUGAUCUCAGAAAAGGUGACGACAUGGAGAGGCGUGGAGGUACGGAUCUUCUCACGCCAACGGGAAAGAAGGAAAUAAACCACCGAGAAGAAGAGGGUAAAGAACACCGCAUUCGUCAGAUGAAAAGGAAGCGGCAAUGCGUCGGAGGCUUUAGUGGGAUCUUCCUCUAAAGGAAUCUUCUUCGUGGGCUUGAGAGAUUGAACUCGUUUAGUCGAAUACAGCCGGGGAGCCUCCAUUUUGGGUGUCGACGGCGGCGGAAACCCGGCGGUGGAGGAGGAGAAUAGAAGAGGAAUGAAAGUAAGAGAUGAUUUCAGUUAGUUUUACGAUUAUGGUGAAGGUGGAGCUUGAGAUGCUAGAGUUUAGGGAGGGAAGGGGAGUAUUUAUAGGAUAAAGAGUAAAGAGAGCGUGAGGAAAAAGGCGCGUGAAGUGAAGAUGGGGCAGUGUUUGGCACUUGUUAGUGUGGAGCUUUACCAAGAGAAGAGUCAAAGAAAGAAUUAUAGGGAUAGUGUUUGGAAGCGUGCAGUGCAUGGGAGCAACGUCGUCAGCACAUCCUGGCUGCUUCAUUUUCAUUUAGGGUAAACUACACAAUCAGUCACUAAAGUAUGGGUACGUUUUUGUUUUGAUCACUGAACUAAAAAAGUUACAAUUUUGUUACUGAACUAUUCAAAAGUUUCCAUUUAAGUCACUGAGCUGUUAAAAUCGAUGCUACACAGCUUUUUCUCUUCACACUGCCUACAUGAAUCGGAAGUUCUCUUUCCCUUUCUUUUUUACGAUUCAAUUUUUUUCUACAACUUUUUUCUUCGUUAGAAAAUGACCUUCAGAUCGACUUGAAUCUAAGAUAUGUUCUUUUACUUGCUAAUGGGUAUUGAUCCACUGUACCAGUCGUUGAGUCGUCACUUGGAGCUCGUUGACAGAAUUUUUAAAAAAAAAUAGUUAACAACCUAGUGACUUAAACAAUUUUUUUUGAAUAGUUCAAUGACUUAAAUGAAAAAUUUCAAAUAUUUUAGUGACCAAAUUGUAACUUUUUAGUUAAGUGACCAAAACGAAAACUUAUCCAUAAUUUAGUGACUAAUAAUAUAAUUUUCCAUUCAUUAUAUUUGGUCUUUCUCCCUAUUUUGAUAUUUUCUGUCACGUGUUUUUCAUUAUUGUAUGGGUUUAAUUAUUCCUUAUUUUGGGUUGUUUUUCAUAAUAAAUUAUCCAAAUAAAUAUUAACGCUGUUGUUAAGUUAUAUACAUUUUUGGGCAAAUGUCUAUUAAAAGAAAUAGAAAUGAAAGAAAGUCGUAUUUAUUAUUAGCAUAAUUUUUUUACCUUCCAAAUUUAUAAAAAAAUUAUUUAUUUUAUCUCUUUUAGUCUUUCAAUUUAUUUUUUUAUCAAAUUAUUUCAAAAUGAAUUAAAAAGUUAAAAUUCUUUAACUUUGUUGAUGUUACAUACACGUGGAUUACCAUCUAGAUAACACAUAAAUAUUUAAAAUCUUAAAAACAUUAACAAAUAUAUAUUUUUAUAAUUUUAUACUUUUAUAAUACUUUUAUUGGUUUUUAAAUUUUAAAAAUAGUUUUUAAAAAUAUAUUUUUAAAAUUUUAAAUUUAAAAAAAUUAAUUAAAUACCGGCGUGUUAUCCACGUGACAAUGCACGUGUAUUCAAGUAAGCAAAGUUAAACAACAUCAACUUUUUCAUUCAUUUUGAGGUAAUUUGAUAAAAAAAUUAGUUUAAGAGCUAAAAAAGGACAAAAUUAAAUAGAAAACUAAAAUGACAUUUUUUUGUAAAGUUAAAGAAUCAAAUAAAUUAUUAUGCCUUUAUUAUUUAAUAAAAUUUAUGCAAAGUAGGACUUUGACUUGAAUUCAUAAUUAAUUUUGAUUUUUUCCUUUUGCUCGUAAUUAAUUGGAUAAGUUUAUAAUUUAAAUUAAUAUGUAAAAAAAUUAAAAUAUAGAGCUUUCACAGCUCAUUUUUCCUUUUUAGAUUAUUAUUUUUUUGCAUGUUUAUUAAAUUAAAGUUCAAAUUUGACAUUUUUAAUAUUUUAAUAUAAUCAAAUUAGACCUAUUUUAUAUUAAAUAAAAUCUAACCCAUUCUUUAAUCCUUAAUUUUCACGUUUCUGUAUUUUUUUCCCAUCAAUUCAAGCAGCCUCUUGCUCUGUAGUCAUAUGUAUGUAUAUAUGACAAUAAUUAUUAUUCGGUUUACGUGGACUUUUAUACAAUAAUGAAGAUUUUUUUUAGGGUAAAUUAUUAAAACAUCAUUUCAAAAAUCAAGUGUAAUAAACAAAAUCCUUAAUCCAAUAAUAAUAAUAAUAAUAAAUUGGAUCUUUGAAUUAUCGUUUCUAUCACGACUCUUGAUAAUUAAUUACUGACAUGAUAAGUGAUGUGGUGGGUGACAUGAAACUUUUGAUGAUAUGGUGGUUGAUAUGGAGGACUUAAUUGAUUUUUGUUAUUAUUUUAGGAGGCUUAAUUGAUGUUUAAGGAUUAUAUAACAAUUCUUAAGAAAUUAUUGAAAAUUAUUAAAAAAACAAAAAUGGAAAGAAAAUAUUAAAAUUAUUAUAAAAUUUUAGCUAAAAGUUAUUAAAAUAUUUAAAAAAUGUUGAAAAUUAUACAACUAUAGAAUUUAUUAAAUAUCAUAAAAUUUUAAAACUAUUAUUAAUAUGUUAUGAAAAUAAUGGAAAUAUUAAAUUAAUAUUAUAAAAAAUUUAGAAAUGAUAGGAAAUGAUAUAAAAACAAUUAAAAUGAUAAAAAAAUAAAAAUAAAAAUUAUUGAAAGUAUAAAAAAUUUGAGUUAAGGUAGUGAUUGUAUAGACGAUAAAAAUUUUAUAUGCUUAAAAGUUAAUGACAUGGUUUAUUCUAUUCGUGCCUAAAAACAUUAAUUUAUAAAAUAAUUUAUUUUUAUAAAUAUUAAUAUAUACACUUUUUUAGAUUGAUAUGAUAGAAAAAUCGAAUCGAUUAAAAAUUUUACAAUAAAAUGAUUUAAAAAAAAAAUAAAGAAUGUUUUUUGGGCUACGUAAAAGAAUAUUGAUCACUCUAUAAGACUGGUUUUUUAUAUCCUUUUGCAUAUAUUUUAGUAGAUAAGGGAGAAAUUAUUUUCUUUACGCCUCUGGUUUCUAUACGGCUGAAAUUUUCAUUCAGUCAAUGACAUGAAUUUCAAAAUAGGAUGCCUAUUUAAUUUUUAUAAAUACAAAUGAUUGUACCCAAAUAUAAUAAUUUGCAUGCGUAUAUAUAUUUGAAUAAUUUCUGAUAGUUCUCUUUAAUAUUACUUAUAGUCUAUUCCCAGCUCAUAAAUAGGAGGAUAAUGUGAUUCAGCAUACUCAAACCCACGUCAUCUUGCAUUGAAAACAAUAAUCAUACUAAUCGAACUAAGACUCAAUCAACAAUUUGCAUAAUUCAUGCAAUUGGUGAUUAUUAUAAAACAACAUUCAAUAAAUAUUAAUAUUCAAAUGUUAAAUUUAUAAUUGUUUGUGCUAUUUUAGGUUCCAACAAGUUAAAAAUUCGUGUUGGGUUAGUUUUUUUUAUAUAUAUGUUUCUGGAGAUCUGUUAAAGGAUGCAGUCAAUUAUCAGGAGUCACUCUCGAAGGGUCUUAUCAUAUAAUAGAACACAAUAAUGGUAUUUGUUAAAAUUGGAAUCUAAGAUGGUGAAAAGGAGGAUAGCCACCUUUGACUUAACCUUUUGUACAUUAUGGAUGCGAUGAGUCUCUUGAUUGAUCGAAGUUUAUUGUCAGCCUUUUGUACAUCACAGAUGCAGUGAGUCUCUUGACAGAUAUUUCUUGGUUGACUGGAGUUUAUUGUCAGGUUGGUUUGAUGAUGGCACGAUUAAGAUACAAUUUUCAAUGGUUUGAUCAAGAUGGUACAUUUUUUGUUUGUUUUUGAAUUCUUUUAGAGUUACGAAUAUUUUACAAACAUAUAACAUAUGAGCAUCAAUUUAUAAUUUAUUAUAUCCCAUAUUUUUAUAUUCUUAUUAUUCAUGAUUGCUAUUAAUGAUAUGUUUUCUUUGUACAUAUAUGAAAUAGACGAUAAGAUUGAAGUAAUUUCUUUUUCCAAAAUAAUAAGCAUGCAUGAGAAUUGUUCAUCGCCAUGUGCUAAAGACUUGGACUGUUUGUCAAAGUUCUCUUCAAAAAAAUCAUAUAACUCACAAUGAAAGUUUAUAUAUAUAUAUAUAUAUAUAUAUAUAUAAGCAUAGUCAGGCCAACCAAUGUAGAAAAAAACUAACAUGAUAUCAUCUUUUCUUAUUGCCCAGUAUUUAUUUAGCAAAUAUUGACUGUAAUAUUGUCAUGAUUAGACCAUAUUAUUUUUGGACAAGAACAAGGUCAUUUCCAGUAAAUUCAAAAUAAAAUAUUAACUUAGUUUUAAAAUUAGAUUAAAAAGACAAUGUAACCCAAAAAGUUCAAAUAAGCCCCUAUUUUAAUAAAAUCAGUAGGUUCAAAUUUAAAAUUUCGAACAAAAUUAGGUGUCUAUAUAGAUAUUUUGUUAAAUACCAAAAUUUCCAAUGAAUUAUCAAAAUUUCUAAACUUAUACCAGAAUACCAAAAUUUCUAAAGUAAUAGUUGAUAUACCAAAGAUAUUACGUUAUAUGCCACAAUUUUAAGGGAAUACCAAUAUUUCUAAGCAAUCUCAUUAGAAAUUUUGGUAUACCAAAUCAUGUUACACAAACUUUUACCAAAAUUUCUAAGAGUUCAACAUUUUAGAUCACAAUUUCAAAGUAAAUAUCAAUAUUUCUAAGGAACCUCAUUAGAAAUUUUGGUAUACCAAAAUCAUGUUGCACAAGCCUAUACCAAGAUUUUUAAUGAAAUGCUAAAAUUUCUAAGCGCAUAUCUUUAGAUAUUUUGGUAUACCCAAAUCGCGUUAUAGAAGCUUUUACCAAAAUUUCUAAAAGAAUAGUAAUAUUUCUAAGGAACCUUGCUAGAAAUUUUGGUAUAUCAAAAUCAUGUUACACAAGCCUAUACCAAAAUUUUCUAGUGAAAUACCAAAACUUCUAAGCACAUAUCUUUAGAUAUUUUAGUAUAUGCUUCAAUUUCUAAGGGUACCAAUAUUUCUAUGGAACUUUGUCAAAAAUUUUGGUAUGCCAAAAUCAUUUUACACAAGAUUUUACCAAAAUUUCUUAGAGCUUAACCUUAGAUAUUUUGGUAUGUAGCGCAAUUCUUAAGGGAAUAUCAAUAUUUCUAAACAACCUCGUUAGAAAUUUUGGAAUACUAAAAUUAUGUUACACAAGCCUAUAUUAAUAUCUUUAAUGAAAUAUUGAAGUUUUUAAGAGCUUAUCCUUAGAUGUUUUGACAUAUACCACUUUUUGUAAGGGAAUACCAAUAUUUCUAUAGAACUCUGUUAAAAAUUUUAGUAUACCGAAAUCUAGAUUUACAAACUUAUAUCAAGAAUUCUAACAAAAUACCAAUAUUUCUAAUAGCAUAUCCUUAAAUAAUUUGAUAUAUUCCAAAAUUUAUAAUGGAAGACCAAAAUUUCUAUAACUUUCAAUGAACUACAGUUCUUGGUAAAUCUAUAUACCUAUAUAUAUAUAUAUAUAUAUGAAAGGAAAAACAUCCUCCUUUUCUUGAUAGAUGGCACACCUAAAAUCAAUGGCGGACGUUAUAGAUGGCACACCUACAAUCAAUGGCGGAGUCAAGUAGAGGCUUAGGGGACCAUGACCUCCCAAAGUUUAAUUUUUUUUAAUUUAGUCCUUUGUAAAUAUACUAUGGCCCUUCCUAAAAUAUAAGUAGAUCCUCCUAAAGUUUAAGAUUUUUGCAAUUUCCCCCUUUAUAUAUAUUAUGGUUCUCCUAAAAAUAUAAAUACUCCCCUCCAAUAUUUUUAUAGUAUUAAAAAUAAAAUUAAAAAAAUUAUUCUUGAUAAAAACAAAGAAAAAUAUUCUUGAAGAUGCUAAAUUACUCAUGAUGACUUUUGAAUGAUAUUUUUGUUAAAAAAUAAUAAAUCAAUUGUUAUAUUGAAAUACUCCUUCUUUUGAAUUGAUUGUUUAUAUGUUUAAAUCGAUUGUUACGUAACACGUCUAAUUUUAGCAUGAUCCCCUCCAAAAUUAACAUCUUGGCUCCGCCACUGCCUACAAUACUCCUUUUAUUUUGCAUUCAAUAAAAAAAGUUAAAUUUCAAUUUCGGUUCAUCUAAUAUGCCUAAACUUGAGAUUUAAUAUAUAUACUUUAAUUUCUAACAUAAUUUGGUUUCUAUAUAUUAUUAUAAUAUUAUUAAUCAGUUCAAAUAGUUAAUAUUAUUCACUUUUCAAUUAAAAUAUUAUAUGGUUAUAUAUAAUUUGAAUACCUUAAUAGUCUUGGAGGCUAACAUACAGCUUUUUGUUUCAUUUAAGUUCGUGUCAUUUUUUUAACAUUAUAAGAUAAUGGUCAAAUUUUAUUUUUGGCCUCUAGACUAUGUUAAAACUUGAGAUUAAUCUAUAUACUUUAAUAUUUUACAUAAUUUGGGCUAUCUACUUUUAUAAUGUCAUUAGCUGGUCUAAAUAAUUAAUAUUAUUAACUAUUUUAAUUAAAAUGUUGGGUAAAUUUUUCUUAAGAACAUUAUUUCAAGAAGAAAAAAAUUAUUUUAUCGAAUUUAAAUGAGUGUUUUUAAGAGAAACUCCUAAUCAAUAUUUUUAACAUUAUUUUUAUUGUUACAUGACUAUUAAGGGAAUCUUUUUAUUUUAAAAUGUCCACCAGAGAAUUUAAUAUAAUAAUUUUAUCGAUGGUAACAAUUGAGCUAAAAUUUUUAAUUUGAAAAGUAGAUAAUUAUGUUCUUAAAAAUAAAAGUAAGACUAAAUUUCAAAUGAACAAAGUGUAUCAGGUCUUAGAGUAUAUUUUAAUCUUCAAAUUUUUACUUUAUAAUUUCACACAAAUAAAUAAUCAACUUAACGUGAAGCAUGAGAUGAGAACCUUAUUAGUAUUUUUCAAAAGUUGCUUAAUGCGCUUUAAAAGUUAUCAAGUAUUUUACAUUAAGGCAAAAAAAAAGAGAGAGAGUAAACUACACUCAAUUUCACUAAACUACUAGUAAAUUUACAUUUAGGUUACUCAACUUCAGAAAGUUAUAAAAUGAUCAUUGAACUAUUUGAAAGUUUUCAUUUAACUUGGCGGACUGUUAAAAUCAUUGAUGUAUGGCCUUUCCUAUUUGCAUCGCAAACACCAAUUGAAAGCUUUCCUUCCCUUUCUCUUCUACAUUUCAAUUUUUUUUCAUGAAAUAACUUUGAACGUGACAAAUCUGUAAACAAAAAUCUAAACAGCUUUCUUCUUUAAUCUCUAACACUAAUCGUCAGAUCAACUUGAAUAUAAUGCAUGUUCUUCUACUCAUCAAUUGGUACAGAUCCAUCGUACUGAUCGUUGAACCAUUGCUUGGAGCUCGCUAGCUUGGCCUUUUAAAAAAAAAAAAACCCUUUAUAACCCAAUGACUUAAAUGAGAGUGACCAUUCUGUAAUAUUUUGAAGUUGAGUGAUUUGAAUAUAAACCUACUAAUAGUUAUCUUUGGUUUAGUUUACCCAAAAAUAUAUAUUAUAUAUAGUUAAUAUAUGUCAUAAGUCCCUAUACUAUUCAUAAAAUUGAAAUUUAAUCCAUCUUAAUUUCUAGAAAUUUAAUCCUAUACUUUAAAGAUUUUUCAAAAUUCAAAUUCAAUUGUUAACAUUGUUAAAAUUAUUUUAUUAAAUUCAUGUUCGUUAUAACAUUAUAUUUCUAUCAAGUGAGUUUUUUUUUAAAUGUCACGCCAAUAAAUUUUAAAAAAAAAUAAUGUUAACAAGUGUACCAAUAUUUUGAAAUCUCAAGAGUAGAAGAAUUAAAUUCUUGAAAAUAAAAAGCAUAAGAACUAAAUUUGAAAUUUAUGAAGAGUACAAUGAUUUAUGACAUAUAUAAACCUAUAUAUAAUAAAAGAAAGGAAAAAACAAAAAUACCAAAUAAAUACCAACAAGUGUUAAGGACAACAUAUCGCAUAGGAGACACAAGUUUAAAUUUUGAACACAAUAUAGUUAGGAGAAGCAGCCAUAAACCCAAACACAAACAGUAAAAGGGACAUUUAAAAUACCAAAAAAAUUACAAAAUAAAUAAAAAAAAACUACAAAGGGAAGUUUAUGCUGCAAGAGAUGAAACGCUGUGGACCAACUAAUUUUUACUCGUCAACUAAUUGGGUAUAGAUCCUUUGUUCCAUAUUCAUCAUCUACCAUUGUAAGAUAUGGCUUCCAAGGCCUCCCUGACGGUAUCAGAGUAAUUCUGUGCCUCUCUAAUGAAAUUAAUUGAUGACGGUUGGCCGGCUCGAAACACAACCUCAUUUCUCAUUUUCCGGAUAAUAAACAGACACCCAAAAGUUAAGACUGUAUCCUGAUCACUGAAGACAACCAGUGAGAGAUAUUAUACCGUGACAAUAAAUGGGAUGUACAUCUAAGCUAGACACAAGGAGAUAUGUCUCCUUAGUACUUUCUACCAUUGGAGAUUGCAACUUUACCCCCAAAUAUCAGACUAUCGUUACGUUUUCUCUAUGAAGAAGCCUUGGACACAUCCUUAGUUGACCUAUUGUACUUCAUAUGGCUCUUAACUAAUUGUCCUGCUGCAAUUGCAGACAUAAGCGACAGCUCCCCUGCAAGAACAGCAGACGCUACAAUGGUUGCCAGCGUCCUAGAGUUUGCUCCUGGUGUCUCUUUGCUUGCACCCUUCACUCCAAGUAAGUUCAAACAGGCUGAUUGAGAUGCAAGCUGAGUUCCACCACCAACAGUCCCAACCUAAAAGAUACAGCAACACAGAUUAUUAGAGACUAACAUAAAUACCCAGAUUUUGUUUUGGCAACGAAAGUCCUUGUGUUGGAUAAUCAGACAGCAACACUAUCAAUUACCUCGAUGGAAGGCAUUGUGACAGAGACGUGGAGGUCCUUUCCAUCAUUAACAGCUUCCAUCAUCGUGAUGCAAUGCGAGCUCUCGACAUUUUGAGCCGGAUCUUGGCCGGUAGCUAUGUAGAUUGCAGCAACGAUGUUACUGGCGUGAGCGUUGAAUCCACCCAGAGCUCCAGCCAUAGCUGAUCCAGUAAGGUUCUUAAGCAUGUUAAGCUCAACGAGAGAUUCCACACUUGUCUUCAAGACCUUCCUAACCACAUCACCCUUAAUGGUGGCUUCACAGACAACAGAUUUGCCUCGUCCUUCAAUCCAAUUUACCGCAGCCGGUUUUUUGUCGGAACAAUAGUUUCCUAUAUGCGCAAAUUCAUAAAUAUCAGUGAUCCUAUGUCGGAACAGUGAAAGACAUAAUUACAAGCCUAUACAAAAAACUGAAACUCACCAGAGAUGCCGAUGACAUCCAUGUCAGGGAAAUCAGUUUGAAGGAAAUCCAAAACGUUUUGCACUCCCUUGGAAACCAUGUUCAUCCCCAUAGCAUCACCUGUACUGCAAGUGAAUCUAAUAUACAGAUUCUUUCCAGCAAUUGCACAUUUGAUACCUUGGAGCCUGCCAAAUCUACUUGAUCUGCAACCACCAAAAAGCCAAAAUUUUCAAUAUUAGCUUGAAUUUUAAAUCCAUCAAUAUGGAGUUCUAGAAAUAUCAACACAAACCUGUUGAAAACAACAGACAAGGUCUCGAAAUUAUCAGGGUCCUCCAAAUACAACUUCAAAUCAGCUGCCCUUUUCGCAGUACCGAACCUUACACAUGGAGCUCUAGUCAUACCAUCUUUCAAUAGAACACUUGUAGCUCCACCAGACAAAUGAAUAGCCUUACAGCCCCUAUUAGUGCUAGCCACCAAGCACCCUUCCGUGGUUGCCAUAGGAACCGAGUACUCUCUUCCAUUAACCAACAAAGGCCCGGAAAUUCCAACGGGAAUUUGCACGUAGCCAACCGGCAUCUCACAACACUGCCCCAAAAUCGACUCGUAAUCAAACCCAUCCAAGGGCAAUCCUGAUAACGACUUCCCUGUUAAUCUUUGCAACGCUUCCCGCCUGAUUGCGGCCGCCCUCUUGCAAUCACCCAAUUUCGAUUCCAAGGAAUACGAAGGGGUUGUACCAGCCACUACAGAUUUAAUUAUUUCUUCAUCUUCCUCCGUUAGUACCGUCACAGGCUUUUCAUCGAACACCUUCUGAACGGUCACGAUUGGUGCCGCAGGAGGCAGAGGUGGAAGCGAACAAUCGAGAGCUUGCCCGCAAGGGACCUUACGGGCAUCUUCCUUUGCAAGCAGAACUUCAUCAUCCUCUUCCUCGUCCUCGGCAAUCCAAACGUCAGGCGAUGGUUGGAAAACCAAAGAUUGAACGAAGUCAAUCCCAAAGAAACCCAAAAGGUAAAUAAAGGACGCUAAAAAUGAGAGAAUGGCGAUGAUCUCGGAAAAGGUGACGACAUGGAGAGGUGUGGAGGUACGGAUCUUCUCACGCCAACGGGAAAGAAGAAAAUAAACCACCGAGAAGAAGAGGGUGAAGAACAGGGCAUUCGUUAGGUGCAAGGGAAGCGGCAAUGCGUCGGAGGCUUUACCGUGAUCUUCCUCUAAAGGAAUCUUCUUCGUUGGCUUGAGAGAUUGAACAGGUUUAGUCGAAUACAGCCGGGGAGCCUCCAUAUUGGGUGUCGACGGCGCGGAAGCCCGGCAGUGGAGAAGGAGAAUAGAAGAGGAGUGGAAGUGAGAGAGGAUUUCAGUUAGUUUUACGAUUAUGGUGAAGGUGGAGUUGGAGAUGCUGGAGUUUAGGGAGGGAAGGGGAGUAUUUAUAGGACAGAGAGUAAAGAGUGGUGGAGCGUGAGGAAAAAGGCGCGUGAAGUGAAGUGUUGGGCCCGUGUGAGUGGGGAGUCAAAGAAAGAAUUUGAAGGGCAGUGUUUGCGUGCAGUGCAUGUGCAUGGGGGCGCAUUGCAUUUUCCUUUCGUUUGGUCUUAUCUCCGUUAACUGCUAUUUUGUAUCUCUUUUAAUUAUUCCUUAUUUUGGGCAUUCAUUAAUUAAUAUGAGACCAUAUUUAAACUUUUGAUGAAUGGUAGUGAUAAAUAUAUAUAAUCUCGAAUAUAAAUCGUAAAAUUAACAUUAAAUAAAUAAAUAUAUAUAAUAUAUGUGAUAAAAUUUAUCAUUAGUAAUAUAGAUAAAGAUCACAGUGGAAUUUACUUCUUCGAUAUUUACAUAUUAUUAGUUUUAUAAUUGUUUAUACAAUGUUUAAAAUUAUAUAUAGCUCCUCUUAAAGGAUAAUGCGCACUCACUGAGUUAGGACUCAAUCGAUAACAAUCUUACAAAUUUUAUUUUAUAUAAAAAGAAGAGCUUCCAUUUUUUAUUAAAAAAUUACAGAUACAAUUGUGUUUAUUUUGAACAAAUGAAUUAUUCAUAUGAAUAUACAUUUUAGGGUAAAUAUUUAUAAAAAUUAAUUUUUUAAACUGGUAUGGUGAUUAACUAUUUAUAUUUAGGGUUUUGCACAGUUUUGUAUACGAUGGUGUAUUAAAUCCUGUGAAAAUAUUUCAAUGGAGAAGGGAGAAUUCAGUCUAUGACAUGAAAUUCAAAAUAGGAUGCCUGCUUUAUUAUUAUAAAUAUUGAUUCAUGCCGUCACCAUUAUUAUUUUAAAUCCUCUAAAUGAUUUAUAUAUUUAUAUAAUUUUGGAUAAUUUAAUUUAUCUUUUAAUGGAAAUGUUAAAAAAAUAAACUAUUAAAAUAGUCACUUUUGUUUACCUUAUAUUACAUUUUAGUUGUUGUAACAUUUUAGUCACUGAGCGGUUAAGUGUCAUUAAUAAUAUAAUGGUAAGCUAAUAUGGCAUGUUAAAUCAUCAUUUCAAACAAAAAAUUCAGGUUAAAUUAUACAAUUGGUCCAAUAUUUCUCUGUUUUGAACAAUUUUUUUCUUUAUUUUCCAUUCUCUUUUAUUUCUCUCUUUGUUUUCCUCCCUUUUUCAUUUUUUUAACUUAAUUUUUCUAUGUUUUCUAUUUGUUAAAACUAGUCCCUAUACUUUUAUUUUUUUGAACAUUUUAAAAUUUUUAAUUUUCCUUUUCUUCUUCUCCUUUAGUUUUAACAAAUGAAAAAUAUAGAAAAAUUACAUUAAAAGAGAUAGAAAAGGGAGAAAAACAGAGGAAGAAGUAGAAGAGAAAGAAAAAUAAAGAAAUUAAAAUGCUCAAAACGAAAAUAAUAUGGGGACCAAAUAUAUAAUUUAACCUAAAAUUUUUGUUUGAAAUGAUGAUUUAAUGUGCCACAUCAGCUUACCGUUACAUCGUUAACGGCUCAGUGACUAAAAUGUUACAACACGUUAACAUAAAUGACUAAAAUGUAACAUUUCAAACAUAACUGACUAAAAUAUAAUAAACUAAAGCAAACAAAAAAGUGACUAUUUUGAUUGUUUCCCUUUAAUAAAUGGUUCAUUACAGUAAUAUAUUAAAUUUAUUCUUAUUUUGUAUUAUUUUUCACAUGUGUAAUAUUCUGAUUAUUUUUUAAUGUUUAAUGUACUAACGUUUAAAUUUAUUCCAUCAUAGCCCAAGAAAAAUAAUAAGAAAUAGACGAUAAGAUUGAAGUAAUAUUUUUUCCAAAAUAACAAGCUUGCAUUCAUGCAUGAGAAUUAUUCAUCACCAUGUGCUAAAGACUUGGACUGUUUGUCAAAGUUUUCUUCAGAAAAAUCAUAUAAUUUAUAAUGGAAGUAUAAGCAGAGUCAGACCAACCAAAGAAGAAUCAUGAUAUCAUCUUUUUUUAUUGCCCAGUAUUUAUUUAGCAAAUAUUGACCGUAAUAUUGUCAUGGUCAGACCAUAUUAUUUUUGCACAAGUGACGCACGAAUAUUCAGUGUAGACUUGCUCAAAACAGUAGGAAAUGAUGAACAAGGUCAUUUCGUAGAAAUUGCAGUCAAUGCUCAUAUUUUGGCUUAAUCCAGCUGGAGUUUAGGUAAAAAUUGAUUCAAAAUUGGAUAACUAUAUAUAUAAUAUUGAUAUCAUAAAUAAGUUAUUUUAAUCCAAGUCAGUUCAAUCCAUGAAUACCUUUAAUAUGUAUACAUGAUAUGAUAUGUGAAAAAUGAGCUCAACUCAUGAAUAUUUCUCAUAUGUAUGCAUGCUUGAUGCAUGAUAUGUGGAAAAUAACUUAACUUGUUGUAUAGGUUUUGUACGGAGUAUGGACGGCAUUUAUAAGUUCAUUUUUGGAACUUGUAUUUUAGAGUGCAGUUGAGAACGUAAAUAAGUUUGUUGAAGUUUUCAGGGGGAGAAUUUAGAGGUGAGUAAUCUAGAUCUUUUGGUACAAAGUGAGGUUGCUCUAGCAGGAUGUGAUAAGACUUGAAUCAUUUGGUGUAUUGGGUUAAAAGAUAGUGGAUUUACUUACUAAGUUAGGCUUCACAAAUAAAGUAAAACUAAACUACGUAAACAACCUUUUGUGUUCUUGUUUUGUUGUUUUUGUCACAAUGCUACCUUCAAUUGGCAUAUCGCAAUUGAAGAAGCAAAAGUUUGUCUGGAAGAAGAAAGAUCCUAAGUGCUUGAUGUACAGUGUUUCGGUAAUGGUUGCUUUCAUCACAUGAUAGGUAAUCAUGCAUACUUUUCUAAUUUUGGAGAUCAUCAUAAGGGUCUAGUCACAUUUGGUGAUGGUAAGAAAUGUCAUAUCCAUGGAAACGGAACACUUAAUGUCCUUGGAAUGCUAAAGUUGAAGAAUGUGUUGAAAGGUCAUAUUGUUAAUGACUUGAAAGCUAAUUUGGUGAGCAUUAUCUAAAUGUGUGACUAAGGCAUGAUUAUCAAUUUCACCAAAGACAAGUAUCUGGUUUCAUCAAAGUCUUAUGAGAAGACUAAUGUUUCUAACUUAGAGUUGUGGCAUGAGAAACUUAGCCACAAUCAUUACAAAGGGCUCCGAAGAUUGGUUUGAUAUGUUGCUGGAAUAGGCAACCCAAAACUAGGUGGUGUCAUUCCUAAAGUCCGUUAUGGAUGCUUGAAAGUUAGAGAGGAUCACAUGGAGAAUCAUCAAAGGUUGUCACAUAUCCAAAUUAUUGCAUCUCUCAAGUUACUACACAUAGAUCUCAUUGGACCUAUGUGAAUCGAGAGCAUUGGAGUAAACCGUUAUGUCCUAGUCUAUGUAGAGGACUUUUCAAGGUACACAUGGGUGAGAUUUUUUAGAGAAUUCUAACACAUCUAAAGAAUUCAGGAAACUAUGCAGAAGAUUUUGUCAAUUUUUAUGACGAGGAAAUGAUCAAACUAAGGCACCGCAAUAUAAUGGAGUUAUGGGACACAAGAACCGUACCAUAUAGGAGAUGGCAUGAGUGUUGCUUAACAACAAAAGAGUUACUCAUAAGUUUUAAGUUGAGGCAGUGAACAUUGCAACCUAUAUCUUUAACAAAGUUCUUACUAGGCGAAAAACUCACAUGACACUUUGUAAGAUGUGAAAUGGGAGGAAGCCAAAUGUCAAGUAUUUCCAUGUGUUUAGAAGUACCUUGAUAGGUGUCGAAUCCACCAAAAAUGAAAUCCUACCCCUAAACAGGAUAUAAAUUAGAAGUUUAAGGAGUAAGGUCGAUCCCACAAGGACUAAUUUAUAUGAACUUGUAGUUUGUUAUAACCAGGACGUAUCGUAAGCAGUUUUGUGCCCAUGAUUUAUGCUAACCUAUACGAAAUAGAAAGAAGGAUUAAAUAUGAAUGUAACUAAAUGUCAAAAAUUAAAUAAUAAUAAUGCAAUAGAAAUAAUCAAAUCAGAAUUAAAAUUGAAUAACCUAAUAAGAUGGAUUUUGACUCUGGCUUUGGAUUGAUCCCAAACAAUGGAUUUUUUCCUCCAAUUGAUAAGUCGGGUAUAGUGACCAAGGAACAACCUCAAAUACCAACCCUUUCGUAUGUAAAUUAACUGCGGGAACAACUCUAAGUUAACCCGUACCAGGUAAAUAACACUGAAAGCAACUUCCAUGAUUUCAUUCCUUGACAACCUCGCGAACUAGAGGGACUCAGCUCAAAUUGACAGCCUCAAUUGCAUGGGUCCACACGCCUACUACCUUUUCCAUCUUUGAUUUUCCAAGUUCUUUUGAAGCAAAAUCCAAGGUUUGUUUGAGCCACAGAGCAUCUUGAAAGAGAAGUUGCUAAGUUGAAAUUCUCUCCAAAAUGGCUCGAGGGAAAACAUGAAUCAAUAGCCCCAACUGAUCUAACUGAAGGAGAAGAAAAAGUUGAAUCUGACCUUGAAACUGUAGCAAUUGCUCCUAUAGUGACUAUUUCAGCAGGUCUUGUGAGCAACCUAGCAGGAUUCAAUCAAAGGAUGGUUAGCAUUUUACUGCUUCUAUUGACUCUCAAAAUUGAUUCAUCUCCAAACUUCGAACUGAAAUCCAAGUCAUUCAACAGAUUCGAGAUCAAGAAAUUGCUUUCCGCAAUGAUUUAUUAACUCAUUCCGAACAAUAAUGUUUGACAUAUUUUUAAAAAAAAGGGAAGUAAAGAGGAAGGAGAUGAUGGCUAAGAUGGUGGCAAGUUGAUUGCUCCUACUAAUGGGAGUUUAUUUUACUUUUGGUUAUUACAAGCUUCAUUUCAUUUUGGGUAUUUCUUUUGAAAUAUUUGUAAUGAUGAACUUUUCUAAUGGAUGGAUGGAUUUUAUUUUGGCGUACAAACUCUUAUCUUCAUCUUACUUAGAUAUAAUUUUAGUAUUUAGAUUGUUGAUACAAAUACUUAAAAGGCAUUAAUGGUUGAUUUACUUGAUUAUGUUUUAAGUUAAGUGUGACGGAUAAGGGGAUUGUACUAAGGGGAAGCAUUUUUUGUUACUGUUGAUAAGCUUCCUAAUUUGAAUUGGUUUUGUUCAAAAAAUUGUAGAAGCAAGUUUCAAAAGUGGCCAGCAAAGUGCCAACGGUAGUGGCCACUAUAGAUAGCAUUGCAAUAGACUCUAUUACUAGCCAUGUUUAGAGUUAGCUUGAAAACGAUGAUGAUAUUAUGAAAAUAUGAAAGUCCAUAUUAUAUUAGUUUUUAUUAUUUAUUGCAUUUUGCUAGUUUAGCUGGUGACACGUUCAAUAAAUAUAAUUUUAAAGGUAUUUUUGUUUUUUUAACUGCAAACUGUUUGGGCAAUAAAUUUAUUUCAAAAGUUGCUUUCAAAUGCUUUAAAAGUUACGGUGUAGUUUACACUAUUCUCAGGUUACAUGGCCUGAAUUUGUCUUUAAAAGAAAGGAAAGAACAAAAUACAAAAUGAAUAAAGAAAAAUCUUUCUGUUCUGUAUAAUCUAUCUACUCCCAUUUACCCGUAGGGUGGCGUUCUUCCGUUCAAUUUCAAUGGCAUUGAUAGAGGGCAGCUUCCACAAGAUGAGUUUAAUCAUCGCCAACUAAUCGUGAAUAACCAAUAUUAAUAAAUAAUCUCCAUUCUUCUCAACCGCCAUAACUGCUCCAUCAACCUGCUAUGUCGGGUGAAAUGGGAACGUACACCUGAGCUACACAAAGGGAUAUAUCUCCUUAGUAAGUUUCUACCAUGGGAGAUUGCCACUUUACCCCCAAAUAUAAGGCCAUCAUUACGUUUUCUCUAUGAAGAAGCCUUGGACACAUCCUUACUUGACCUAUUGUACUUCAUAUGGCUCUUGACUAGUUGCCCUGCUGCAAGUGCUGACAUGAGUGACAGCUCCCCGGCAAGGACAGCACCUGCUACAAUGGUUGCCAGCAUUCUAGAGUUUGCUCCUGGUGUCUCUUUGCUUGCACCCUUCACUCCAAGUAAGUUCAAACAGGCUGACUGAGAUGCAAGCUGUGUUCCACCACCAACGGUACCAACCUAAAAGAUACAGCAACAGAUAUAAUUAGGGGGAUUCAUAAAUACCCAGAUUCUGUUUUGGUAAUGAAAAUCCUUGUGAUGGAUAAUCAGACAGCAACAUAAUCAAUUACCUCGAUGGAAGGCAUUGUGACAGAGAUGUGGAGGUCCUUGCCCUCGUUAACAGCUUCCAUCAUAGUGAUGCAAUGAGAGCUCUCAACAUUUUGAGCCGGAUCUUGGCCCGUAGCUAUGUAGAUUGCAGUGACGAUGUUACUGGCGUGAGCAUUGAAUCCACCCAGAGCUCCAGCCAUAGCUGAUCCAGUAAGGUUCUUGAGCAUGUUAAGCUCAACGAGAGAUUCCACACUUGUCUUCAAGACCUUCCUAACCACAUCACCCUUAAUGAUGGCUUCGCAAACAACAGAUUUGCCUCGUCCUUCAAUCCAAUUUACAGCCGCUGGUUUUUUGUCGGAACAAAAGUUUCCUAUAUGGACAAAUUCAUAAAUUUCAGUAAUCCUAUAUAGAACAGUAAAAACAUAGAACACAAUUACAAGUCUAUGGAAAAGUGAAACUCACCAGAGAUGCCAAUGACAUCCAUGUCAGGGAAAUCAGUUUGAAGGAAAUCCAAAACAUUUUGGACUCCCUUGGAAACCAUGUUCAUCCCCAUAGCAUCACCUGUACUGCAAGUGAAUCUAAUAUACAGAUUCUUUCCAGCAAUUGCACAUUUGAUACCUUGGAGCCUGCCAAACCUACUUGAUCUGCAACCACCAAAAAGUCAAAAUUUUCAAUAUUAGCUUGAAUUUUAAAUCCUUCAAUAUGGAGUUCUAGAAAUAUCAACACAAACCUGUUGAAAACAACAGACAAGGUCUCGAAAUUAUCAGGGUCCUCCAAAUACAACUUCAAAUCAGCUGCCCUUUUCGCAGUACCGAACCUUACACAUGGAGCUCUUGUCAUACCAUCUUUCAAUAGAACACUUGUAGCUCCACCAGACAAAUGAAUAGCCUUACAGCCCCUAUUAGUGCUAGCCACCAAGCACCCUUCCGUGGUUGCCAUAGGAACCGAGUACUCUCUUCCAUUAACCAACAAAGGCCCGGAAAUUCCAACGGGAAUUUGCACGUAGCCAACCGGCAUCUCACAACACUGCCCUAAAAUCGACUCGUAAUCAAACCCAUCCAAGGGCAAUCCAGAUAACGACUUCCCUGUUAAUCUUUGCAACGCUUCCCGCCUGAUUGCG